UUCCUAAUCGGUUGGUAGUUUAUGAACAGGGCCGUCCUUAAGAAUUCGGAGGCUCGGCUCUGGGAAUGAAAAGAGGCCAGUGAUAAA
Molecule: microRNA precursor, 87 nt
Filed under: Medicago truncatula (barrel medic)
Lineage: Eukaryota; Viridiplantae; Streptophyta; Magnoliopsida; Fabales; Fabaceae
Description: miR5295c stem-loop (mtr-MIR5295c)
Source: miRBase by way of RNAcentral